Molecule: long non-coding RNA, 5834 nt
Filed under: Theobroma cacao (cacao)
Lineage: Eukaryota; Viridiplantae; Streptophyta; Magnoliopsida; Malvales; Malvaceae
Description: long non-coding RNA (TCAC_LNC004356)
Rfam family: Histone 3' UTR stem-loop (bases 2974-3020)
Source: RNAcentral
GCUAAUUAAAUUAAAUUGGUGUUUUUGAUAGCAUAUCCUCGACCAAGCGAGGUAUAUCAACCACCUCAACAAUGCUAUCCAGCAGAAAAGGCGGUGGAAAUGCAUGCUAAUGCUCCGCCACCACCUGUUGGUUAUCCCACUAUGGGAGGAGCUGAGUACCCCCGACAUGCUCCUCCUGUCCACACGCAAAGCAAAGGUGAUGACUUUUGGAAAGGAUGGUGAGUGGAGGUUAUAAUUUGGUCUCUCUUAUCUCUCUACACGUUUGUAUUAUUCAUUGUCGGGUGUGUUUCAUUUUCUUCAUUGAUUAUAUAUAGUUCCCAACACUUCGUUUCCUUGAAUCCCAUGCAGUUUUGCUGCCUUAUGUUGCUGCUGUGUGUUGGAUAUGUGCUUUUGCUAAUCAAGCCCACCCUAGAUGCAUGCCUAAAUCUUGAUAAGGCACCAAGUUUUAUUUUCUCUCUUGAUUUCCCAUCUAGGCUACAUUAAUCAUGCUUAUAAUUUCUCUACUUAAUGGAGUUAUUUUUGCACUAUUUUUGAUGUCUUAUAAGGAAUAAAAAUAUUAAGAUCUUAUGUACUCAUUCAAUCAAAUACUAUGCGAUGUUAGAUUUAACGUUAGUAAUUCAAAUAUUAAAGACAAUUUUAAUGUCUCUUUUAUUCGGUCUAGAUGUUAUUAAUUUUUCCAACUUUUCGACAUUCGUCAUUUGAUAUAUAAUGGAUAAAACGUAAGAAGCAAGAGGGAUGAAAUUUGAGUAUAUUGCAUUAGUGGAUGCAUUAAAAUCCAACUUGAAUAAUUGUGUACCACAGAAGGAAAAAUUAAGGUAAAGCUAGCUGGUCAAGAUUUACAAAACCUUGUAUUGCGAGGCAGAAUAGACUAUGCUCCACAAAACUUUGGCACAUUAAUUAACGGAUUACCUAAGAGCUAAUCAAUUAUCAUUUAACUGGUUUUGAGUCAUUAAGAUAUUAGUUUAAGAAAGCCUUCAAUUGUGGUUUAAUUAGAAAAUAUUAAAUAACAAAUUUCCUGAUCAAGAGACUUCAUCUUUGAGAAUAAUCGAAUAUUUGCAAACCAGAGAGAAGGAAGGUUCGUAUUUUUAUUCCUCAAAGAAAAGUUGAUACAAGAAUCCUAGUUAUUUGUAGAGAGCUGGUUGUAUUAGGUGUAAAAUAACAGAAAUUGGAGGGGAUAAAAUUGGGGAAGAAAAAAUCUCUGCAAGUACUGUUUGUCUGUUAUCACCUAUUUACAGCAGUAGAAUUCCACCUACCUAUUUACAGCAGUGAAAGCAAUAAGUAAAGCAAUAAAUAUAAAUACUAUAUUUAACUAAGAUAAUAAUCUUAUAUCUAAUUCUCCCCUUCGAGGUGAGUAUUAUGGAUGUUCAUAAUAUUAAUCUUGCUUAGGAAAUGCUUGAAAGGUCUCAGUUGUAGUGCUUUUGUGAAUAAAUCAGUCAAAUGCAUUUUAGUAGACACAUAACAGGAAGCUAUAAGAUCUUUUGUAACCUUUUCUCUGAUGAAAUGGUAGUUCAUUUCUAUAUGCUUUUUAGUUUGUUAAUGGAAUAUAGGAUUCCUACAUAUAUGAAGAGCUGGUUAUCACAGAACAACUUUACUGCACUAAGAUGCUUAAUAUUAAAAUCUUUCAGCAGAAAUAUCAACCACAUAACCUCACAACACGUUGCUGCCAUUGCUCGAUACAUAGCUUCAGUUGACCUUUUGCCACAACACUUUGUUUCUUUGCCUUUCAGCUUAUAAGUGACUCACCAAGCAGCACCCAUAACUCGUGACAGACCUUCUAGUAUCAAGGCAACCAACCCAAUCAUUGCUAUUGUGAGCUUGCAAAUUUAAAUCAGAUUCAAUUGAUAACAAGAUGCCCUGUCCUGGUACUCCUUUAAGAUACUUUAAAGCUCUGAAGCCUAGUUUUUGGUUAGCCUCACUAGGCUUGUCCAUGUACUGUGAAAGAACAUGGACAACAUAAGAAAUGUCAGGCCUAGUUAAUGUGAGGUACAAUAAUUUCCCUCUCAACUGUCUAUACACUGUGCUAUCAAGCAAGUGAUCCUUUUUCUCAGUCUUAGAAAUUUUAUGUUUAUAAUCAAUGGGUGUUGAGACCGGUUUUGCACCCAAGAGGCCAAAUUCUUCUAGGAUAUCUAAUGUGCAUUUUCUCUGGCAUAAUAAGAUACCACUGUCAAGCUCGAGCCACCUCCAGUCCAAGAAAGUAUUUGAGUUUUCCUAAGUCUUUCAAUUUGAAUUUGGAACUUGAGUAAUUCUUUACCUCAUUUAUAAGUUGCAUAGAGGUGCUAUCAAUCACUAUGUCAUCAACAUAAACUAUUAAUGCAGUAAAACCUCCAUUAUUUGUACUCUUAGUGAAUGAAGAGUAAUCUGCCUUCAAUUGUUGAAAACCGUAUGUCAGCAAACAACAAGUGAACUUCGUGUUUCACUAUCUUAAUGCCUGUUUAAGUACAUAGAGAGAUUUACGUAAUUUUCACACCAAGUGAACAUUAGAUGAAAAUUCUCCCUGAACUUGGUAUCUCUAUGGUAACUCCAUAAAAACAGUCUCAUUCAAGUCACCAUUCAAAAAAGCGUUGUUGAUAUCAAAUUGGGGAAGAUACCACCUUUUAAUAGUAGUUAAAGCCAAUAAACAAUCUAAUUGUUGUAUGCGUAGCUACUGGGCUAAACGUCUCUUGGUAAUCAAAACUAGCCUUUUGAUUAUAAUUGUUAGCUUCCAACCUUGCUUUAUAUCUCACUAUCAGAAUUAAGCUUAACUUUGUAGACCCAUUUGUAUCCAAUUGCAUGAGAGUUAGCAGGUAAAGGCAUAACUAUCCAAGUCCCAUUAACUCCUGGGGCAUCUAACUCACAUUGCAUAGCCUGCUUGAUGGUAAUAGGUUGGUUCUUAUAUGUGAGAUAAGGAUAAGCUGAAUGCUUUAUGGUUAGCAGGUAAAGGCAUAACUAUCUAAGUCCCAUUAGCUUCUACGUAUGGGCGAACCCAUAUUCAUGAGAGUGGUGUCAUUUGACACCACUCAAUAAAAAAAAAAUAUUUAUUUAUUAUAUUAUCUUUUUAGAGUUUUAUAUAUAUAAUAAUAUUAUGAACCCACUAAUUUUUUUGCAAUUUUGUAAGAAGUGGAAUCAAAAGGUAGAUUUUAUUAAAAAACUUAUAUAUUAAUAAUAUUUAAACAUUCUUUUUAAAAAAUAAUAUUUAAAUAUUUUCAAUAAGUAGAUUUAUCAAAAAAUAAUUUAUAUAUUAAUAUUUUAAAUUCUACAUGGAAAGGUAAAAAAAUUUCUUUUUAUAAUUUAAGAUUUGUGCUUAAUUGAAUCUAUCUGAUAUCCUAAACUUGUAUUAGGUUGAUUAAAAAGGACAAAGGCUGGUUUAUAUAACUGAGUUUGGGUUCGAGAGUAUAAUUACAUACAAAAAAAAUUAACAUCUCAUGAAGGCCAUACGAAAAAUAGUGCCAACUAAUUAUUUGUUAUUAUAUUUUAGUCUUAAAUCUUGAUUUUAUUUUUAUUUUCCUGAACCAUUAUUUAUUGUUUCAUCACUUUAUUUUUCUUUUCUUUUCCUCUCAUUUUCAUGGAAAAUUCGUACUAAAGGAGCAAAAAGAAAAUAAAGAAGCCGAACUGGAUUUUAAGAAAAUGGUAGAUUCAACAGUCAUCAAUGGCGAGGCGGAGAUUCAGAUGGCGAAAAACUUGUACGGCGCUGAUGAAGUCAAACUAACCGAACUGGCAAGCAAAAUCGAAGCUCUUAAGAGCUAGGAGUUGGAACAGAGCAACGAGAAGAAAGAAGCGAAGGAAAAGACGAAGAAAGUGAGACUAGAAAUGGAUCAACUACAUAACAAAGAAGAAGAAAUGAGAGGAGAAAUGGGAUGGGUGGUAGGAGGAGAAGGUGUUCCAAGAAUCGAUGGCGGCGAGAGCGAUUAAGCUUGAAGCCGAGGCUUGAACAAUCAACAUGAUGUGAUCACUUGGACGAGUGAAGUACAAGAGGCGAACAAGGAGGUGUCUGAGUUAGAAAGAGGACUAGAAAAGAAAAGGAUUGUUGAUUGAGAGAUUGAGAGAAAGAGAAAGGCGAGAGUGAGAAGAAAGAGAGGGAAUUGGAGAGGAGAAUAGGGGCUUUACAAGUGAGAAUCGAAGAGGAAAUGAGGGAAAAGAUGGAUGAGUUUAAGAAGCAAGUUGAGGUGGCGAAAACGAGGGGUGAAUUGAAGUUGAUUGAUUGUGGAUCUUCUAUUGUGGUUCGUUGCUGUAUUCUCUUGUUUGGACCCUGAACUUUUCUUAGGUUUUCGUCUAACCACAAUGUUGUAAAGCCCGUACAAGAGUAUCGACAAACAAAUCAAUAACAUUUCAUAUUUUUUAUUUGAUAAGGGGUUUCGAAUUUAAUUUUUUAAAUAAGUAUAUGUAUUUACCAUUAAACCAAAUAUUUUGUGUAAGAUCAUUUUAUUAUUUGAAGUUCGAAAAUCAAGUAUUUUUUAUAUUGCGAGUUAUGAUAACAACUUAUUGAAAUAUUAAAGAUUUUUUUUACUUAAUUUCAACCACUAUUUCCAUCUCAUAAAUGCUUUUUGGAUACUAAUUCUAAAAAAACAGAAAAUUAAGCAAGAAAGAUUUGUUCUUUUCUUUUUCACCACUUCUCCUUCAAGAAUUUCAUUGUAAAAUCCUUUUUGCAAGAUUUUUUGUUCAUCUAAAAGGCAUUUAUAAUUAGUCGAUUUAGUAAAAUUUUACUCAAAUAUCCAUGCAAAGGUACAAUUAAGAUGCUAUAAAAAUCUCUAGAUAAAUCUAUUGUAGGAAAAUUUUAUUCGAUUAAAACUUCAAAUUUUAUCUUAAAAAUUUUAGGUUUGAAUCUUGAGAUGAUCGAAGAAAAUAAAAUUUACGUGAUAGAAGAGAAUUGCUUCUUCUUCGAAUAGUUCAAAAUUAAUCCUUACCUAAAUUUUGUCAAAAAAAAGUUAAAAAAGAUUAAUUAUUGAUAAUUAAUGUGAUUGGAGGCCGGCAUUUGAAAAAUUUGAGAUAAAUUUGAGAGCUAGAACAAAAAAAAAAAAAGAGAUUCAAUUACAGAUCGUAGGCACCUAAUGAAGCAACGCAUGUAACUUGUUUUUACAUGGAUGGUCGUUAUUGAUUCAGUCCUGAUCAUGCAGCUCCAUCCAUUAGGUCAUUGUUGAUGAAUUUUCUUUUCUUGUUUUGACUCUCUUGUAAGCCCCGUCCAACAAGCUAGCUCUUCCAUACAAGUACCUAUCAAAUCCAGCCCCUCCUCAAUUUCCUAAUUCUUCACUCUCUUAAGCAAAUUGACUUGAACCAACACACAGUUAGAUCUCAACAACAUCCUCUUCGGCUCUAGUCAUGGCACACUACGAUCAACAACAAGCUCCUGGUAAGUUUUUCUUUGAAGAAUGAUUGAUGUAUACAUGUACUUUGCUAGCUAGCUGUAAACUGAUCAUGGUAAUCGAGAUUUUUGACAGUAAGAUUGAUUUUGUUUGUGGUUAAAAGUUUCACAGUUGCACAAUCAAACGUAGUUUCAUGUCGUAGGUAAAUUAAAGUAGUCUUUAAUGGUGAUUUGGAAUGGCUAAUUAAAUUAAAUUGGUGUUUUUGAUAGCAUAUCCUCGACCAAGCGAGGUAUAUCAACCACCUCAACAAUGCUAUCCAGCAGAAAAGGCGGUGGAAAUGCAUGCUAAUGCUCCGCCACCACCUGUUGGUUAUCCCACUAUGGGAGGAGCUGAGUACCCCCGACAUGCUCCUCCUGUCCAAACGCAAAGCAAAGGUGAUGACUUUUGGAAAGGAUGGUGAGUGGAGGUUAUAAUUUGGUCUCUCUUAUCUCUCUACACGUUUGUAUUAUUCAUUGUAGGGUGUGCUUCAUUUUCUUUCAUUGAUUAUAUAUAGGUCCC